AUUGAACGCUGGCGGCAGGCCUAACACAUGCAAGUCGAACGGUAACAGGAAGCAGCUUGCUGCUUUGCUGACGAGUAGCGGACGGGUGAGUAAUGUCUGGGAAACUGCCCGAUGGAGGGGGAUAACUACUGGAAACGGUAGCUAAUACCGCAUAACGUCGCAAGACCAAAGAGGGGGACCUUAGGGCCUCUUGCCAUCGGAUGUGCCCAGAUGGGAUUAGCUAGUAGGUGGGGUAACGGCUCACCUAGGCGACGAUCCCUAGCUGGUCUGAGAGGAUGACCAGCCACACUGGAACUGAGACACGGUCCAGACUCCUACGGGAGGCAGCAGUGGGGAAUAUUGCACAAUGGGCGCAAGCCUGAUGCAGCAAUGCCGCGUGUAUGAAGAAGGCCUUCGGGUUGUAAAGUACUUUCAGCGGGGAGGAAGGGAGUAAAGUUAAUACCUUUGCUCAUUGACGUUACCCGCAGAAGAAGCACCGGCUAACUCCGUG
RNAcentral lists this ribosomal RNA (490 nucleotides) under uncultured bacterium. RNAcentral's name for it is "partial 16S ribosomal RNA". It matches the Rfam family "Bacterial small subunit ribosomal RNA", at positions 30 to 507 of the family's 1533-position model. The record is from RNAcentral.